AUUGAACGCUGGCGGAAUGCUUUACACAUGCAAGUCGAACGGUAGAGGGGGCAACCCCUCGAGAGUGGCGAACGGGUGAGUAAUAUAUCGGAACGUGCCCAGUCGUGGGGGAUAACGUAGCGAAAGUUACGCUAAUACCGCAUACGAUCUAAGGAUGAAAGCGGGGGAUCGCAAGACCUCGCGCGAUUGGAGCGGCCGAUAUCAGAUUAGGUAGUUGGUGGGGUAAAGGCUCACCAAGCCAACGAUCUGUAGCUGGUCUGAGAGGACGACCAGCCCCACUGGAACUGCGACACGGUCCAGACUCCUACGGGAGGCAGCAGUGGGGAAUUUUGGACAAUGGACGCAAGUCUGAUCCAGCCAUUCCGCGUGCAGGAUGAAGGCCCUCGGGUUGUAAACUGCUUUUGUACGGAACGAAAAGGUCUCUCUUAAUACGGGGGGCUCAUGACGGUACCGUAAGAAUAAGCACCGGCUAACUACGUGCCAGCCGCCGCAGUAA
Molecule: ribosomal RNA, 496 nt
Filed under: uncultured bacterium
Lineage: Bacteria
Description: partial 16S ribosomal RNA
Rfam family: Bacterial small subunit ribosomal RNA
Source: RNAcentral